GGACCAGGGCGUGGGGUGGCGAAAUUGCCGUGCGCCUAGGGCGCUCAAACCCCUAGCGCCGGUCCUGGACAUCACCCUUGUUUUUUACCCCUUUUAGCCUAACCCAGAGAUGCUCAACACUUCCGUCUCCUAUGUCCAUCUCCACCUCAGUCCAAUAAGGACAAAGAAGUUCUGGCAGUUGGAAAAGCCUAUAUAAGGCUGAUGCCUCAUUUCCAUCUUGUCUUCAGUCCUGCUUCUUACCUCGAGAGGAACUUUGCUACAAACUGAAGCUCUACACAAGGGACUAAUGACCCAUCCCAGCGGGGGAUGUACUCCAGAGACUUGAUUUGAACCUGCAGUUUACUCCAUCACUGCUACAAGCCUGAACUAAGAACUUUGCCAUUACUGUAUGUAAUUGAUUCCAUUUAACCAAUUCUAGGCCUCAUCUCUAUCUUUUUUCUUUUAUGAAUAAAUCUUUAGAUUUUAGAUUCUAAA
Gopherus flavomarginatus (Mexican gopher tortoise) is the source of this 474-nucleotide long non-coding RNA. RefSeq lists it as uncharacterized. The record is from RefSeq and is a predicted model, not a curated record. The transcript is spliced from 2 exons. Lineage: Eukaryota; Metazoa; Chordata; Testudines; Testudinidae.